This 1368-nucleotide long non-coding RNA is filed under the name Sus scrofa (pig). Its description in RNAcentral is "lncRNA (ENSSSCG00065016073.1)". The record is from RNAcentral. Lineage: Eukaryota; Metazoa; Chordata; Mammalia; Artiodactyla; Suidae.
GUCAGUCAAAAGUUACGAACUUGUAGUUAUAAAUUCAUAAGUACUAGAGAUGUAAUGUACAACAUGAUAAAGAUAAUUAACCCUGUUGUAUGUUAUGGAUGAAAGCUGUUAAAAGAAUAAAUCCUAAGAAUUCUCAUCACAAGGAAAAAAAUGUUUUUCUAUUUAAUUUUGUACCUAGAUGAGAUAAUGGAUGUUCACUAAACUUAUCAUGGUAUAUCAUUUCAUGACGCUUGUUAGAGCAUUAUGUUCUACACCUUAAACUUAUACUGUGCUUUAUGUCAAUUAUAUUACAAUAAAACUGGAAGAAAAAAUUUUAAGUAAAAUAAAUGACUACUGUUUGCAUUGGGAAGACCACUCAGAAAGCUGUUUUUCUCUACUGCGAAUGAAAUGUAUAUUGCAUUUCCCCUGAGUGAAACCUGGAAUUUUUAAGCUGGACUGGCAAGUGUAUCACCAUUAAUAAAUAGAAUUUAAGUGCUAGUUUGGAAGAUGAAAGUUCUUCUAGUAGGCCCUGACUACAUAGUUAUACUCUCAAGGUGCUUAUAACUUAUCACAAAUAUACUUCAGGAUGUACAUUGUGGAAAAAGAUGUAAGUCAAAUACAUAUGGACAUUCUGCAAAAGCAAAGAAAUUUACGUUAUCAGAGGUAAGACAGAGAAGAGAGUAAAAAUAAUUCUCCCUGAUGCUGAAUCCAUUCAUAGCUGGUAAAAUAAUUAUGGACAUUUUUUCCCUCACAUCAGUUUAGUCACAGAUAUGUGAAGCUUGGUGCCGCCACGAGAUGUGCCAGCAUUUCUUCAGAGCCCCCUCCACAGCACCCGAGAAGUCUGAAGUCAUUCAGAGGUGGUUUGGUAAACUGUGAUCCCGACCCAUUUCUUCAAGGAAGAUCUCUGGAGACACAAAUGAUGAAACAGAAGAUCCUUGGGAUAAAGUGACUCCUGGGUGAUAUUUUACAACUAACUUUAAGCGACUUUGGAAAACGGCAGCACAGCUAGAUUAACCCCGUGCUGAUGAUUAGGGAAGAGAAAUGCAACUCGUGGGCAAAAUUAUAAUAAUGGUUUUCCAAAGGACACUUUAAAUGUCAUUUUAAAAUGACACUUAGGGGGUUCCUACUGUGGCCCAGUGGCUUGAUGUCUCUGUGGAUACGCUGGUUUGAUCCCCAGCCUGGAGAAGCAAGUUAAGGAUCCGGCAUCGAGGCAGUUUUGGUGUAGGCUGCAGUUUUGGUGUAGGCUGCAGCUCUGGCUCGGCUUCCAUCCCCGGCCCGGGAACUUCCAUACCCCUCCAGGGCAGCCCAAACAGAAAAAAAAAUAUUAAAAUGACUCACAAUUUUUUUCAUGCGUGUAAUUUGCAUAAAUAAACCAGUGUGAAAUGAGCA